This 496-nucleotide ribosomal RNA is filed under the name uncultured bacterium. Its description in RNAcentral is "partial 16S ribosomal RNA". It matches the Rfam family "Bacterial small subunit ribosomal RNA", at positions 29 to 507 of the family's 1533-position model. The record is from RNAcentral.
AUGCACGCUGGCGGCGUGCCUCAUCCAUGCAAGUCGAGCGAACGGACGAGAAGCUUGCUUCUCUGAUGUUAGCGGCGGACGGGUGAGUAACACGUGGAUAACCUACCUAUAAGACUGGGAUAACUUCGGGAAACCGGAGCUAAUACCGGAUAAUAUUUUGAACCGCAUGGUUCAAAAGUAAAAGACGGUCUUGCUGUCACUUAUAGAUGGAUCCGCGCUGCAUUAGCUAGUUGGUAAGGUAACGGCUUACCAAGGCAACGAUGCAUAGCCGACCUGAGAGGGUGAUCGGCCACACUGGAACUGAGACACGGUCCAGACUACUACGGGAGGCAGCAGUAGGGAAUCUUCCGCAAUGGGCGAAAGCCUGACGGAGCAACGCCGCGUGAGUGAUGAAGGUCUUCGGAUCGUAAAACUCUGUUAUUAGGGAAGAACAUAUGUGUAAGUAACUGUGCACAUCUUGACGGUACCUAAUCAGAAAGCCACGGCUAACUACGUG